UCGAGAAUCUUCCACAAUGGACGAAAGUCUGAUGGAGCGACGCCGCGUGAUUGAUGAAGUCCUUCGGGACGUAAAGAUCUUUUAUGAGGGAAGAAGUUUAUUGACGGUACCUCAUGAAUAAGGGGCUCCUAAUCUCGUGCCAGCAGGAGCGGUAAUACGAGAGCCCCGAGCGUUAUCCGGAAUUAUUGGGCGUAAAGGGUGCGUAGGCGGUUAUGUUAGUCGUGUGUUAAAACCCCGGGCUCAACCUGGGAGAUGCGCGCGAAACGGCAUGACUUAGAAUGAAGGAGAGGUGUGCGGAACUCAUGGUGUAGGGGUGAAAUCCGUUGAUAUCAUGGGGAACACCAAAUGCGAAAGCAGCACACUGGCCUUUUAUUGACGCUGAGGCACGAAAGCGUGGGUAGCGAAUGGGAUUAGAUACCCCCGUAGUCC
RNAcentral lists this ribosomal RNA (429 nucleotides) under uncultured bacterium. Its description in RNAcentral is "bacterial SSU rRNA". It matches the Rfam family "Bacterial small subunit ribosomal RNA", at positions 355 to 796 of the family's 1533-position model. The record is from RNAcentral.